GACGAACGCUGGCGGCGUGCUUAACACAUGCAAGUCGAACGGAAAGGCUCCAGCUUGCUGGAGUACUCGAGUGGCGAACGGGUGAGUAACACGUGGGUGAUCUGCCCUGCACUUCGGGAUAAGCCUGGGAAACUGGGUCUAAUACCGGAUAGGACCGCACUUUGGUGUGUGUGGUGGAAAGGUUUUUCUGGUGUGGGAUGAGCUCGCGGCCUAUCAGUUUGUUGGUGGGGUAAUGGCCUACCAAGACGGCGACGGGUAGCCGGCCUGGGAGGGUGGACGGUCACAUUGGGACUGAGGUACGGCCCAGACUCCUACGGGGGGCAGCAGUGGGGAAUAUUGCACAAAGGGGGAAACCCUGAUGCAGCGACGCCGCGUGGGGGAUGAAGGCCUUCGGGUUGGAAACUCCUUUCGCUAGGGACGGAGCUUUUUGUGACGGUACCUGGAGAAGAAGCACCGGCUAACUACGUG
Molecule: ribosomal RNA, 468 nt
Filed under: uncultured bacterium
Lineage: Bacteria
Description: partial 16S ribosomal RNA
Rfam family: Bacterial small subunit ribosomal RNA
Source: RNAcentral